AUGAGAGAGAGAGAGAGAGAUCAAACACAUAGCUACUGGUGCAUACCCUCAGCCCCGAGGGUGAAAUACUCCCUCCUCGUCAUGGAGAGCAUCGAGAUGAUGAAGAUGGACAGUGGUGAUGGAUCCCCCCCCCCCGUCCGACAAGGUGCCAGAAAAGGGUCCCGAUUGGUUUUUUGUGUCUAUAGAGGCUUGGGCGGCAGAACUCCCGAUCUUCAUUCUGUUCCUGAAGUUUGGGGAUAUAUAAGAGGUGUUGGCGUCGGGAACAAGUCAGGGGGGUCCACGAGGCAGCCACGAGAUAGGGCUGCACCCUCCACCCUUGUGGUGGCCUCAGGACUCUUCUGGUCCAUCUCCGAUGCUCCGUGGGCUUCUUCUGGUCCAAAAAUAAUCUCCGUAAAUUUUCAGGUCAAUUGGACGACGUUUGAUAUUCCUUUUCUGUAA
Molecule: ribosomal RNA, 438 nt
Filed under: Triticum aestivum (bread wheat)
Lineage: Eukaryota; Viridiplantae; Streptophyta; Magnoliopsida; Poales; Poaceae
Description: partial small subunit ribosomal RNA
Source: RNAcentral